GUCGAGCGGUAAGGCCUUUCGGGGUACACGAGCGGCGAACGGGUGAGUAACACGUGGGUGAUCUGCCCUGCACUCUGGGAUAAGCUUGGGAAACUGGGUCUAAUACCGGAUAUGACCGCAUGCCGCAUGGUGUGUGGUGGAAAGAUUUAUCGGUGCAGGAUGGGCCCGCGGCCUAUCAGCUUGUUGGUGGGGUAAUGGCCUACCAAGGCGACGACGGGUAGCCGACCUGAGAGGGUGACCGGCCACACUGGGACUGAGACACGGCCCAGACUCCUACGGGAGGCAGCAGUGGGGAAUAUUGCACAAUGGGCGGAAGCCUGAUGCAGCGACGCCGCGUGAGGGAUGAAGGCCUUCGGGUUGUAAACCUCUUUCAGCAGGGACGAAGCGUGAGUGACGGUACCUGCAGAAGAAGCACCGGCUAACUACGUGCCAGCAGCCGCGGUAAUACGUAGGGUGCGAGCGUUGUCCGGAAUUACUGGGCGUAAAGAGUUCGUAGGCGGUUUGUCGCGUCGUUUGUGAAAACCCGGGGCUCAACUUCGGGCUUGCAGGCGAUACGGGCAGACUUGAGUGUUUCAGGGGAGACUGGAAUUCCUGGUGUAGCGGUGAAAUGCGCAGAUAUCAGGAGGAACACCGGUGGCGAAGGCGGGUCUCUGGGAAACAACUGACGCUGAGGAACGAAAGCGUGGGUAGCAAACAGGAUUAGAUACCCUGGUAGUCCACGCCGUAAACGGUGGGCGCUAGGUGUGGGUUCCUUCCACGGGAUCUGUGCCGUAGCUAACGCAUUAAGCGCCCCGCCUGGGGAGUACGGCCGCAAGGCUAAAACUCAAAGGAAUUGACGGGGGCUCGCACAAGCGGCGGAGCAUGUGGAUUAUUUCGAUGCAACGCGAAGAACCUUA
This 896-nucleotide ribosomal RNA is filed under the name bacterium KR 1979/121_57f. RNAcentral describes it as "bacterial SSU rRNA". It matches the Rfam family "Bacterial small subunit ribosomal RNA", at positions 61 to 973 of the family's 1533-position model. The record is from RNAcentral.